ACUCCUACGGGAGGCAGCAGUGGGGAAUAUUGCACAAUGGGCGCAAGCCUGAUGCAGCAACGCCGCGUGAGCGAUGAAGGCCUUCGGUCGUAAAGCUCUGUCCUCAAGGAAGAAUAAAUAGACGGUACUUGAGGAGGAAGCCCGGGCUAACUACGUGCCAGCAGCCGCGGUAAUACGUAGGGGGCAAGCGUUAUCCGGAAUCACUGGGGCGUAAAGGGGUGCGUAGGCGGUUUUCAAGUCAGAAGUGAAAGGCUAUGGCUCAACCAUAGUAAGCUUUUGAAACUGUUAAACUUGAGUGCAGGAGAGGAAAGUGGAAUUCCUAGUGUAGAGGUGAAAUUCGUAGAUAUUAGGAGGAACACCAGUGGCGAAGGCGACUUUCUGGACUGGUAACUGACGCUGAGGCACGAAAGCGUGGGGAGCGAACAGGAUUAGAUACGCUGGUAGCACAGAG
RNAcentral lists this ribosomal RNA (451 nucleotides) under uncultured bacterium. RNAcentral's name for it is "bacterial SSU rRNA". It matches the Rfam family "Bacterial small subunit ribosomal RNA", at positions 335 to 799 of the family's 1533-position model. The record is from RNAcentral.